RNAcentral lists this ribosomal RNA (253 nucleotides) under uncultured bacterium. RNAcentral's name for it is "partial 16S ribosomal RNA". It matches the Rfam family "Bacterial small subunit ribosomal RNA", at positions 524 to 776 of the family's 1533-position model. The record is from RNAcentral.
UACGAAGGGGGCUAGCGUUGUUCGGAAUCACUGGGCGUAAAGCGCACGUAGGCGGAUGUGCCAGUCAGGGGUGAAAUCCCGGAGCUCAACUUCGGAACUGCCUCUGAUACAGCACGUCUUGAGUCCGGAAGAGGUGGGUGGAAUUCCUAGUGUAGAGGUGAAAUUCGUAGAUAUUGGGAAGAACACCGGUGGCGAAGGCGGCUCUCUGGACCGAGACUGACGCUGAGGCGCGAAAGCGUGGGGAGCAAACAGG